This 147-nucleotide non-coding RNA is filed under the name Eggerthia catenaformis. RNAcentral's name for it is "GlcN6P sequence". It matches the Rfam family "glmS glucosamine-6-phosphate activated ribozyme aptamer". From Rfam's summary of the family: This entry contains a glucosamine-6-phosphate activated ribozyme that is found in the mRNA for GlmS. GlmS is an enzyme that uses fructose-6-phosphate and glutamine to generate glucosamine-6-phosphate. RNAcentral also lists the same sequence under 1 other name. The record is from RNAcentral. Lineage: Bacteria; Bacillati; Bacillota; Erysipelotrichia; Erysipelotrichales; Coprobacillaceae.
AAUAUUUUUUAAGCGCCAGAACUCAAUGAGUUGACGAGGACCAGAUUUAUCGAAAUAUUCGGCGGAUGAUCUGGAGGCAUAGUACUGUCUAAAAAGAUAGGUAAAAAAGAUAAGUGAUUGUCUAACAGAUUCUAUCAGGUACUCUCU